RNAcentral lists this microRNA precursor (76 nucleotides) under Loxodonta africana (African savanna elephant). Its description in RNAcentral is "miRNA (ENSLAFG00000032944.1)". Lineage: Eukaryota; Metazoa; Chordata; Mammalia; Proboscidea; Elephantidae. The record is from RNAcentral.
UAGGGUGACCACUUGCUCUGGUUUGCCUGGGACUGAGGGGUUUCUCAGGAAGUGGGGCAUUCAGUGCUAAAAGGCA